This 440-nucleotide ribosomal RNA is filed under the name uncultured bacterium. RNAcentral's name for it is "bacterial SSU rRNA". It matches the Rfam family "Bacterial small subunit ribosomal RNA", at positions 338 to 769 of the family's 1533-position model. The record is from RNAcentral.
CCUACGGGAGGCUGCAGUGGGGAAUUUUUCGCAAUGGGGGAAACCCUGACGAAGCAACGCCGCGUGGAGGAUGAAGGCCUUCGGGUCGUAAACUCCUGUCGACCGGGACGAACGUAGUCUGGCCCAAUACGCCGGGCUAUCGACUGUACCGGUAGAGGAAGCUCCGGCUAACUCUGUGCCAGCAGCCGCGGUAAUACAGAGGGAGCAAGCGUUGUUCGGAAUUACUGGGCGUAAAGGGCGCGUAGGCGGCCUCGUAAGUCCCGUGUGAAAUCCCUCGGCUCAACUGAGGAACUGCACGGGAAACUGCGAGGCUUGAGUUCGGGAGAGGGAAGCGGAAUUCCGGGUGUAGCGGUGAAAUGCGUAGAUAUCCGGAGGAACACCGGUGGCGAAGGCGGCUUCCUGGACCGACACUGACGCUGAGGCGCGAAAGCUAGGGGAGC